Molecule: RNA transcript, 2474 nt
Organism: Synchiropus splendidus (mandarinfish)
Lineage: Eukaryota; Metazoa; Chordata; Actinopteri; Syngnathiformes; Callionymidae
Gene: iqce
Gene name: IQ motif containing E
Exons: 21
Source: RefSeq, a predicted model, not a curated record
CUCGCCGAGUCACUUGGCGACACUGGUGGGAAAUAAAUCACCAUAGCUCCCACAAGACGGCGUCAACACAGGUCCUUAUUCCGUCCACUCGGUUUUUACACGCUUUUCCUCUCAUUGUUUUUACGUUUUUGUCCAGAACAAGUCGCUGGUGGUCGUAAAUCUGUGCAGAAGCGAAGCUAACAUGCCCGGUGUUUACUCGCGCUGCUACUCGCAACAGGGAGAAAGAUUCAAAUGACGAGGAAGCAGCGGAUACAGUCAACUUCUCUGCCCUGUGAACCUGAGAUAAAAGAGUCCUGGAGAUGAUGAGCGGGACUUCUGCUGUGCAGACGGAUGAGGACUGUGUGGAGCUGGAUGAAGAUGGCUUUGUUUUCUCUCCUGACAUUUCUGAGAAGUUAACCAGAAGAAAUAGGUCAUUUGGAAAAGCGUGUCCAAAGUCUCCCUACCUUUCUAGUCUGAAUAUGAACACCAGGAGAGCAGCAGUGGCAGCCUGGAGGCUCCCGAGGGCGUCUUUAGGGGACACAAGAGGAGACCUCACUGGGGAGAUGGGCUUUAGUUGUCUGACAUCCCUCAGCAACGGCCAUGAUGUGUCACACACCCUGAGGUCAGAGUGUGAUGUUGCUCAGGAUCUUCUCAGGGACACCUGGAGGAAGAACAGGAAGCACCCCAGCAUGGCCUCGAAUGGUUUCAGUUCUGGCGCAGCGGACUACAGAGAGAAGGAGGACAUGUAUGAUGAGAUCAUUCGCCUCAAGAAGAGUCUUCACGUGCAGAAAUCUGACAACCGAAAAAUGCAAGCCAAACUCCGACGGUUGGAAGAGGACAAUGCCAAACGAGAGAAACAGCUGGAGGAACUUCUGGAUCCCACCAAAGGAUCUGAAUACACUCGCAGUUUAGUGGAUAAGAAGAAGGAGGGCAGUGUGAUUCUGAACGGACUGAAGCAGAGGAUUCUUAAACUGGAGCAGCAGUGCCGAGAGAAAGAAAACGCUCUGAGCAAGCUGCAGAGCGAGCUGAGGACGACUAAACUGGAGGAGCUGAAGAUGACUGUGAAGACCUACUUUGAGGAGAUCCAGAGACUGAAAAUCCUGCUGGAGGCAGCCGAGAAAAGCAAUCGCACUGAAAGCAAAUGUUCCCAAAGACAACAGAAAGCACUGAGCUCCACAGUUGUGCGUCUGUCGGAGAACGUGAAACAACUCCAGCAGGAGAACAUGGAACUCAGAGAGGAGCUGGACACAGCGAGUCCUGCUGAAGGGAGCAAAGGUUACAGAGAGUGGAGUAAACAGCGGGUGCUGCGGCGGCUGCUUGAAGUUGAGAAAAGACUGGCAGACGCCAGGAGACACGCCCCCUGCUCGGAGAGCAGCAGCCGAUUGGACCGGGAGGUUCAGACCUCAACCAAUGAGAACCAGGACAGGCUCGCCAUGGCAACAGAGGCAGGGGUAUCCGUGGGAACGCAGACGGAGGAAGACGAUGAGGUUGAUGUUUUGAGAGAACGUGUCAGCCAAUUGGAGGCGCAGAGGGUGGCGCUUCAGGAUCGGCUCUCAGCAAAAGAUGAGGAACUUCAGCACUUAAGAACUGAGCAUGAGGAAGUGGAGAAGGAGAGGGAGAGGUGGAAAACUGAGGAGAAGGCUAAAGAGGAACAACAUGAACUGGAGCUGGAGCGGUUACAUGGAAGGUUACGGACUCUGGAAGAGAACCAGGUGAAACUCUCCCCAACAGUCGCAUCACAAGAAGACCAGAGGGGCGCUGAGUGUAGAAGUGUGAAGGAGGACCGAGCACCAGAACCUGCAGGAGAUGAUGAGGUGCCAGGAACCAACGUGUCUGAGACCAGACAGCAGAGGGAGAGAGACAAAGCAGCAAGGGUCGUCCAGAGGAACUGGAGGAAGCACAGGACGAGGGCGGUCGUGAAGCUGCAGUCGGCCUUCAGAGGUCACCUCUGCAGAGAAUCGGCUCUCAGGCUCUUGAGAAGAGACUCACAGAGUCAGGCUGGAUCACACCACGGUGAUUCAUCUGUAGGAGGUCCGGACGUCGUUGCCUUGACGAUGAUGCAGUCGGCAUUCAGGGGACACGUUGCACGCUGCAGACUUGUGGAGAGAAUGUCAUCACCAGGAGACAGUUUACCAGCUCCGGCACUGACAAAGACUGACGCCACUCUCGGAAGAACAGUCCGAGCGGAACCAUCCUGUUCCCCAGAUGAGACGGCCGAGGCUGAGGACUCUGAUGAUUCUGAUGACAUCAUUGUGUCUCCGUCACGUCCAAUGAGUCACUGGUGUUCUAAAACAUGGAUCCAGCUCACGAAGAAGUGGGUUUGAAGGAUGAAGAGUCGAUUCCUGACAGAUGCACUGUGGAACCACACUGUGAUAAAAGUACAACUCCAUCUGCUGCAAGUGGGGAGCUACAGCGCAUCGUGACGCGGGGCGCAGGCCCACUCUCCAGCCUGCACUGUCGUGACUCCAACAUCAGGGGGCGGCCUCCGCGCAUUC